GAUGAACGCUGGCGGCGUGCCUAAUACAUGCAAGUCGAGCGAACAGACGAGGAGCUUGCUCCUCUGACGUUAGCGGCGGACGGGUGAGUAACACGUGGAUAACCUACCUAUAAGACUGGGAUAACUUCGGGAAACCGGAGCUAAUACCGGAUAAUAUAUUGAACCGCAUGGUUCAAUAGUGAAAGACGGUUUUGCUGUCACUUAUAGAUGGAUCCGCGCCGCAUUAGCUAGUUGGUAAGGUAACGGCUUACCAAGGCAACGAUGCGUAGCCGACCUGAGAGGGUGAUCGGCCACACUGGAACGGAGACACGGUCCAGACUCCUACGGGAGGCAGCAGUAGGGAAUCUGCCGCAAUGGGCGAAAGCCUGACGGAGCAACGCCGCGUGAGUGAUGAAGGUCUUCGGAUCGUAAAACUCUGUUAUUAGGGAAGAACAAAUGUGUAAGUAACUAUGCACGUCUUGACGGUAACUAAUCAGAAAGCCACGGCUAACUACGUG
This 497-nucleotide ribosomal RNA is filed under the name uncultured bacterium. RNAcentral describes it as "partial 16S ribosomal RNA". It matches the Rfam family "Bacterial small subunit ribosomal RNA", at positions 28 to 507 of the family's 1533-position model. The record is from RNAcentral.